AGCAGCCGCGGUAAUUCCAGCUCCAAUAGCGUAUAUUUAAGUUGUUGCAGCUAAAAAGCUCGUAGUUGAAUUUCGGGAUCAAGGAAUCGGUCAUGCCUUGGUAUGUACUGGUCUUAUUGGUUCUCACCUUCUAAAGAACCAUAAUGUCAUUUAUUUGAUGUUAUGGGGAAUUAGGACUGUUACCUUGAAAAAAUUAGAGUGUUUAAAGCAGGCUCACGCUUGAAUACAUUAGCAUGGAAUAAUGAAAUAGGACGUUUGAUUCUAUUUUGUUGUUUCUAGGAUCGACGUAAUGAUUAAUAGGGAUAGUUGGGGGCAUUAGUAUUCAAUUGUCAGAGGUGAAAUUCUUGGAUUUAUUGAAGACUAACUACUGCGAAAGCAUUUGCCAAGGAU
RNAcentral lists this ribosomal RNA (390 nucleotides) under uncultured Glomus. Its description in RNAcentral is "SSU rRNA". It matches the Rfam family "Eukaryotic small subunit ribosomal RNA", at positions 569 to 965 of the family's 1831-position model. The record is from RNAcentral. Lineage: Eukaryota; Fungi; Glomeromycota; Glomeromycetes; Glomerales; Glomeraceae.